ACGGAGCUGGCGGCGUAUCCCAAAGUGGCCGCAAGAAGUAUGUAACUUUCCGGUAAUCUGUAUAGAAUCCUAACAUACAUGCAGACACAAAUAUCAACAGUAGGAGAUAAAAGAAGUUGCGUGGAGUUCGUCUGGAAAUAGGACGAAGAGAUCGUGGUGCCAUGCCGUGAAGGAUAUUUCUUUUCUUUUUGAAAGUAUAGCCGGGUGGUGCUGCCAUCAAGCCUUGAUUAAAGAAACCGCGGAAUCCAUAACGGGACGUGGUGCCUAUACCCCAAUUUACAAAACGCAUAUCAAGAGAACUUCCUGAAAUUAAUACAACAUCGAGGUUUAGGAGGUUUAGGAGGGUCAAAAAUCAUAGCUCUAACAAUCUUGAUCUACCUGCAUAGAGAAAACGUUUUUAAAUCAUGAUGAUAAACAAUGUACCUCACUUUUGCACAAAUUGUAAUACUACCUGGUUUGCUUUAUCAUAACUUAAAGUGACUGAAAGUGAGAUUCUUGAAAACCCACCAUGUCAUCUGAUAAAGGGGAAUUGAAAAGCCCUCUGGCAAAUAUUCAAAUACAUCGAUCAUAUGUUUUACACCCAACAAAUCGAUCAAGAAAAACCAUGUCUAUCAUAGUUUGUUUGCUCACACCAUAAGACAUCAGUUCUAGAGCCUAUCUAGCAUUUUAUGAAACAGCAACCAAAUCUCUCUUAGAUAAUUCAGGGUCUAAUAUGCAUUCAGAAAUUCAAAUCCUAAAUUAAGAAAUCAAAGAGGACAAUGAAACCAAUAAGACAGAGAUAUAUACCUCUAGUGUCCGCAGGUACAAGAGAGCAAAGGAGGACGGCAAAGCCUAAAAUGGCAGAAAUUCUUGAGUUUGAGACUGAGCAGUCACCGUCUUAAUUAUAAAGAUCAACAAAGUGGAUAUGGACAAAAUUUGGUAGCUUUGUAAUAAACGCCGGUGCGGCGAUUCUCAAGUCUUAGUGUUUAUGUAGAUUUUGUUAAGUGUAUGACUUGUGUUGGGCUUAAUUAAAUAAAGCCUAACUAAACUUGUAGUUAGAGAUUUUAUAAAUUUGCUGGCCGAAUUUAAAAAGUUUGCUGGGUGUGCUUAUACUAAUUUUAAAAUGGAAUUGAAAUAGUCCUGUAACUGCUGUUUAUAGCUAAUAUUAAGAUUCAAGUUGUUAAUUAAGUCGGUGAAUUGAACGAUUCAUACCUAUAACAAUGCCUAAAGUUAAUGAAGCCUCUGAUAUAUGCAUGUCUCAUAAAGAGAGUAGGAAAACCAAGUACAAUCUUACGCCAUAGCAAAAGUGAUAAUAUAUUUGGCUAAUCGCAUCACACAAAUGUGCUUCUUAACUUGUAUGAAAAAUAUAUAUGAUUACAAUCAUAGAAUCAUAGCUAUGAAUUGAGUUAUAUGAUCCAAAUAAAAACUUAC
RNAcentral lists this long non-coding RNA (1410 nucleotides) under Fragaria vesca (wild strawberry). RNAcentral describes it as "long non-coding RNA (FVES_LNC000063)". Lineage: Eukaryota; Viridiplantae; Streptophyta; Magnoliopsida; Rosales; Rosaceae. The record is from RNAcentral.